GCUGGGCGUGGUGAUGCAUGCCUAUGGUCCCAGCUAUUUGGGAGGCUGAGGCAGGAGGAUUGCUUGAGCCCAGGAGGUCGAGGCUGCAGUGAGCUGAGACUGUGCCAUUGCACUCUGGCCUGGGCGACAAGAGCAAGACCCUGUCUUUA
Molecule: small RNA, 149 nt
Filed under: Pongo abelii (Sumatran orangutan)
Lineage: Eukaryota; Metazoa; Chordata; Mammalia; Primates; Hominidae
Description: Metazoan signal recognition particle RNA (ENSPPYG00000034466.1)
Source: Rfam by way of RNAcentral